AGAGUUUGAUCCUGGCUCAGGAUGAACGCUGGCGGCAUGCCUAAUACAUGCAAGUCGAGCGAUUUACUUCGGUAAAGAGCGGCGGACGGGUGAGUAACGCGUGGGUAACCUGCCCUGUACACGCGGAUAACAUACCGAAAGGUAUGCUAAUACGAGAUAAUAUGCUUUUAUCGCAUGGUAGAAGUAUCAAAGCUUUUGCGGUACAGGAUGGACCCGCGUCUGAUUAGCUAGUUGGUAAGGUAACGGCUUACCAAGGCGACGAUCAGUAGCCGACCUGAGAGGGUGAUCGGCCACAUUGGAACUGAGACACGGUCCAAACUCCUACGGGAGGCAGCAGUGGGGAAUAUUGCACAAUGGAGGAAACUCUGAUGCAGCGACGCCGCGUGAAGGAUGAAGUAUUUCGGUAUGUAAACUUCUAUCAGCAGGGAAGAAAAUGACGGUACCUGACUAAGAAGCCCCGGCUAACUACGUGCCAGCAGCCGCGGUAAUACGUAGGGGGCAAGCGUUAUCCGGAUUUACUGGGUGUAAAGGGAGCGUAGACGGCACGGCAAGCCAGAUGUGAAAGCCCGGGGCUCAACCCCGGGACUGCAUUUGGAACUGCUGAGCUAGAGUGUCGGAGAGGCAAGUGGAAUUCCUAGUGUAGCGGUGAAAUGCGUAGAUAUUAGGAGGAACACCAGUGGCGAAGGCGGCCGUCUGGUCUGUUGCUGACACUGAAGCACGAAAGCGUGGGGAGCAAAUAGGAUUAGAUACCCUAGUAGUCCACGCCGUAAACGAUGAGAACUAGGUGUUGGGGGAAUAACUCAGUGCCGCAGUUAACGCAAUAAGUUCUCCGCCUGGGGAGUAUGCACGCAAGUGUGAAACUCAAAGGAAUUGACGGGGGCCCGCACAAGCGGUGGAGUAUGUGGUUUAAUUCGAAGCAACGCGAAGAACCUUACCAGGCCUUGACAUCCCUUGCAGAGGUAUAGAGAUAUAUCCGAGGUUACCAAGGAGACAGGUGGUGCAUGGUUGUCGUCAGCUCGUGUCGUGAGAUGUUGGGUUAAGUCCCGCAACGAGCGCAACCCUUGUGAUAUGUUACUAACAUUGAGUUGAGGACUCAUAUCAGACUGCCGGUGAUAAACCGGAGGAAGGUGGGGAUGACGUCAAAUCAUCAUGCCCCUUAUGGCCUGGGCUACACACGUACUACAAUGGCGUCUACAAAGAGCGGCAAGCCUGUGAAGGCAAGCGAAUCUCAUAAAGGACGUCUCAGUUCGGAUUGAAGUCUGCAACCCGACUUCAUGAAGCUGGAAUCGCUAGUAAUCGCGAAUCAGCAUGUCGCGGUGAAUACGUUAUCGGGCCUUGUACACACCGCCCGUCAA
Molecule: ribosomal RNA, 1355 nt
Filed under: uncultured bacterium
Lineage: Bacteria
Description: bacterial SSU rRNA
Rfam family: Bacterial small subunit ribosomal RNA
Source: RNAcentral